Molecule: ribosomal RNA, 400 nt
Filed under: uncultured bacterium
Lineage: Bacteria
Description: bacterial SSU rRNA
Rfam family: Bacterial small subunit ribosomal RNA
Source: RNAcentral
GGGGAAUAUUGCACAAUGGAGGAAACUCUGAUGCAGCAACGCCGCGUGAGUGAUGAAGGUCUUCGGAUUGUAAAACUCUGUCUUAUGGGACGACAAUGACGGUACCAUAGGAGGAAGCCACGGCUAACUACGUGCCAGCAGCCGCGGUAAUACGUAGGUGGCAAGCGUUGUCCGGAUUUACUGGGCGUAAAGGAUGUGUAGGCGGAUAUUUAAGUGAGAUGUGAAAUCCCCGGGCUUAACUUGGGGGCUGCAUUUCAAACUGGAUGUCUAGAGUGCAGGAGAGGAAAGCAGAGUUCCUAGUGUAGCGGUGAAAUGCGUAGAGAUUAGGAAGAAUACCAGUGGCGAAGGCGGCUUUCUGGACUGUAACUGACGCUGAGGCAUGAAAGCGUGGGGAGCAAAC